CCUACGGGAGGCAGCAGGGAGGAAUAUUGGACAAUGGACGCAAGUCUGAACCAGCCAUGCCGCGUGCAGGAAGACGGCUCUAUGAGUUGUAAACUGCUUUUGUACGAGGGUAAACGCAGAUACGUGUAUCUGUCUGAAAGUAUCGUACGAAUAAGGAUCGGCUAACUCCGUGCCCGCAGCCGCGGUAAUACGGAGGAUUCAAGCGUUAUCCGGAUUGAUUGGGUUUAAAGGGAGCGUAGGUGGUCGGAUAAGUUAGAGGUGAAAUCCCGGGGCUCAACUUCGGAAUUGCCUCUGAUACUGUUCGGCUAGAGAGUAGUUGCGGUAGGCGGAAUGUCUGGUGUAGCGGUGAAAUGCUUAGAGAUCAGACAGAACACCGAUUGCGAAGGCAGCUUACCAAGCUACUUCUGACGUUGAGGCACGAAAGCGUGGGGAGCAAACAGGAUUAGAUACCCGGGUAGUC
Molecule: ribosomal RNA, 460 nt
Filed under: uncultured bacterium
Lineage: Bacteria
Description: partial 16S ribosomal RNA
Rfam family: Bacterial small subunit ribosomal RNA
Source: RNAcentral